UGCGAAAGCGUGGGGAGCAAACAGGAUUAGAUACCUGGUAGUCCACGCUGUAAACGAUGUCGAUUUGGAGGUUGUUCCCUUGAGGAGUGGCUUCCGGAGCUAACGCGUUAAAUCGACCGCUGGGGAGUACGGCCGCAAGGUUAAAACUCAAAUGAAUUGACGGGGGCCCGCACAAGCGGUGGAGCAUGUGGUUUAAUUCGAUGCAACGCGAAGAACCUUACCUACUCUUGACAUCCAGAGAAUUUAGCAGAGAUGCUUUAGUGCCUUCGGGAACUCUGAGACAGGUGCUGCAUGGCUGUCGUCAGCUCGUGUUGUGAAAUGUUGGGUUAAGUCCCGCAACGAGCGCAACCCUUAUCCUUUGUUGCCAGCACGUUAUGGUGGGAACUCAAAGGAGACUGCCGGUGAUAAACCGGAGGAAGGUGGGGAUGACGUCAAGUCAUCAUGGCCCUUACGAGUAGGGCUACACACGUGCUACAAUGGCGUAUACAAAGAGAAGCGACCUCGCGAGAGCAAGCGGAACUCAUAAAGUACGUCGUAGUCCGGAUUGGAGUCUGCAACUCGACUCCAUGAAGUCGGAAUCGCUAGUAAUCGUAGAUCAGAAUGCUACGGUGAAUACGUUCCCGGGCCUUGUACACACCGCCCGUCACACCAUGGGAGUGGGUUGCAAAAGAAGUAGGUAGCUUAACCUUCGGGAGGGCGCUUACCACUUUGUGAUUCAUGACUGGGGUGAAGUCGUAACAAGGUAACCA
RNAcentral lists this ribosomal RNA (749 nucleotides) under uncultured Enterobacteriaceae bacterium. Its description in RNAcentral is "bacterial SSU rRNA". It matches the Rfam family "Bacterial small subunit ribosomal RNA", at positions 752 to 1502 of the family's 1533-position model. The record is from RNAcentral. Lineage: Bacteria; Pseudomonadati; Pseudomonadota; Gammaproteobacteria; Enterobacterales; Enterobacteriaceae.